RNAcentral lists this long non-coding RNA (213 nucleotides) under Physcomitrium patens. RNAcentral's name for it is "long non-coding RNA (PPAT_LNC004312)". Lineage: Eukaryota; Viridiplantae; Streptophyta; Bryopsida; Funariales; Funariaceae. The record is from RNAcentral.
AAUAUUAAAAAUAGAAAUUCUAAUCAAAUCCUAAUCAAAUUCUAAUAUAACUUUCAAAAAAUCUUCAUAAAAUCCUAAAAUAAUUCUAACUAAAUCCUAAAAAAAUCCUAAUGAAGUCCUAAAUCAAUCCUAAUCAAGUCGUAAAUAAAUUCUAAACAAAUUCUAAAUAACUUCAAAAAAAUCCUAAGUAAAUUAUAAUUAAUUAUUAUAAUU